RNAcentral lists this long non-coding RNA (5107 nucleotides) under Homo sapiens (human). RNAcentral's name for it is "HSALNT0075260". Lineage: Eukaryota; Metazoa; Chordata; Mammalia; Primates; Hominidae. The record is from RNAcentral.
UUAUAAAUUCUCUUUGAUACUUCAAAAUUCUUAUUUUAUCAGACUUGUUUUCACAGAGUUGAUUUUCAAAAGAAAGAGUCACAUUACAUUUAAUAAUAAACAAGCCUCUGGGUAAGCUCACAUUUUUUAAAUUAUGUAUUUCAGAGCAUAUAUGUAAUUAGAGGUAAAUUACCCUUAUGUAAGGUCAAAUUUAAACUGUACAUUAGAUCUCACUAGAAAGGAACACACUAAGAAGCAAUCAAAUCUUCAGCUUUUUAGAACAUUCACAUGUUUCCCCAUCUACUCCCCAACACCCCAAGAUAUCUAGUAUUACCAUUGUUGUGGACAAACUGCAACCUAACUUAAUAGGCAGACAAGAUUGAAAACCUAACUUAGUAGUAUGUACCUGUAACAAUAGCUGAGUCUUGGCCAAUCCCAGCAGCCAUACUUCAAAGACUCAUACGCUGCUGAGUGUUCAAACUGUGUUCAAAUAAGGCAAAUGCCAAGCUAUAACCAAUCCAGUUGUUUCUGUAUCUCACUUUCAAUUCCUGUGUGUCAUUUCCCUGUUUUUGUCUAUAAAUUUAUUCUGACCAAAAGGCAUCCCUGGAGUCUCCCUAAAUUUACUGUGAUUCUGGGGGCUGCCCAAUUCACAAAUCAUUUAUUGCUCAAUCACACUCCUUUAAAUUCGGUUAAAGUUUUCCUUUUAACAGAUGGUGUCAGAAGCGGGGUCCAAAGUAGAGCUUCUAAUGACCCCAGGAAUGCUGAGUGAACAAGCAAGGUAGCUGCAAGGACCCUGCAAGGACCCACUUGUGUCCUUGAUUCCUCAGAGCGGCUGAGGGUUGUGAGAAUAUUGGAGCUGAGAAGAGAGAAACAAGAAGUCGUCUGCUAUGUCCAAGUAGAAUUCAGACAUGUUUUGGAAUACCUGGUGAACAAAGCAAAACAACCAAAAGGCAAAUGUAAAAACUAAUCCUAUGAGAAGAAGGAGAUAAUCAUGAUGCCCCACACCUAGUAAGAAAAUCUUAGUGUCAAAAGAGUGGCAAUGCUAAAUACUGGGGAUUUUCUGUCAACUGGGUUUGCGUUCUAACACAGACAAUCCUCAAUGACUUUAUGCCUCAUAUCCUUUUGAGUGUGAAGAAACUAUGAAAAAAAAAAAAAACUAAAACAACUGUUUCAUUAAAAUAUUGGCUAAAAGAAAAAAAAAAACCUGCACUACUUUUGAACCUUUCUAACAGAGUAUAACACGAAGAAAGACAUCAUCAUCCUCCCCCUACUUUAUCCCAGCUAAUCCGGCAGCUUUAGCUGUGAAAGAGAACAUUGGUGGAAAUGCCCAGCAGAGAGCACCAUAUGGCAAGAGACUGAAGUGCCUGGUGGAACAGCAGCUGUACUCAAUGGAAAGAGACUUAUUCGGGAGCAUAGCUGAGACAGCCCCCAGGGAUGUCUAGAAAUACAUGGGUAGAAGAACUUUGCAAAAGGCUAUAUGUCCUCUACAUUGAUAGUUACAGACAAAAAAAAAUGGUAUUUAAGUUAUUAACAUUAUUGCAACUCUCUUUAGUAACUCCAAUCCAAUGAAGCCUGGGAAAAUGUGUUAUAUAAAUAAAAAGGAUUAAUCCUUAUUUCCUCUAGGAAUAUUUCCAGCACUGUACGUGGUCUCAGUGGGCUUGAAUUAUUGAUCUGCAAAUCCCUUCUGCUGCAACACAAAGAGCAGAAAGGCAUUUGCCCUUCUUCACUAUGGACAUUCAGCUUUAACACUGAGUGAUGAGUGACAGUCUUAUAAAGCACUAUCUCAAAGUAAUAUAUUAUUAUUCUUAAUAGCAUUAUUAUUAUUAUUACAAGUAGGGAUUCUAAUUUGAUACACAAUUCCAAAGCCCAGCCCCUUGUCAUGUCCUUGAAGGAACAAAGCUAUGAAUAAAAACUGAAAGAGCUAUCCCACAAAUCUCUGCAACACAUAGGGUAUAUAUACACUACUUUGGAAUUCCUAAGUAUAACACAAAAGGAAAUAAGGGAGUCAGACCAUCCAAAGGCAUUGGGUUUGGUGGGUGUAGGGGGGCAGAGACAAAUGCUAUAAAACUUAGCAGAAUGACUUACAAAAGUGGCAGAGUCUGACAUGUCCAGCACAGCAGUACAUGCCAGUAAAAGAGCACGGAGAAACCCUAGCAUCCACUAGAGUAGUUGAAAACACUCCUCUCUCCUCUUCUUAUAGGGUCAGUGGCAAUUCCAAAGACUGCUGUGCCAAACAGAACUUAAGGAAGAGAGAGAACCUAGCCAAACAACACUUUCUCUUGCUAAAGUAAGUGCUCCAGAUCACCUUUCAAAUGCAAUUACCUAAUACAACCAUGGAUUUUAAAGUACAUAGGCAGUUUUGAUGGCAGAAAGAAUGAAAUUUCCCAUUUAUGUUAGAGUUUAUUUUUAACUCAGAAAUAAAGCAGAACAUCAUAAUUGUGCAUAUUUUUUUCUACUAUAUUAUGACCAUAACAGACAGUGAAGUACAAAAUGUGAAACUACAUUCUAAUAUAAUAUAGUCAUGCUGGAUAUUUUAGACAUUGUAUAUAUUUCACACAAGAACAUAUCUAAUAUGUUGAUUUACUAUAGCCUAUACAUUUGUCAAAAAAUCAGUAUUUUAAAAUACAGCAUUUUGAUGUCAUCUUUUACAUCACAUUUUUAUAGCCUAAAAUCAUGUUAAGGUUUUGUAUUAACUCUUUUAAUGCAAGGAUUCAAGACCUUGAGCAGGAUUCUAUUGAAGAAGCUUUCUUUAAGUGAAUUUACAUUAUUGAGAUUUUAUGAUUCAAUUGUUUCACAAUUCUAAUAGUAAUCCAGUAGGAGGAAAGAUUAUGUAUGUGUACAUGUGCACACACACACAAUUUAAGACCCCACAAUAAUAUCCAUUUUUUUUUUUUUGUGUGUGUGUGUGUGUGUGUGUGUGUCUACAAUAAUAUCCAUUUCAUUUAAACCACAUGAAUUGACAAGUACUUAACUCAUUAACCUCUGCGGUACUCAGGUAGAUGUUGAAUCAGAAAUUUAAAAGGCUUUUAAAAAUACAGACAGAAAACAAAGGAUAAAUUGAUGCACUCUUAUCUCUAAAUUACAGUUUCUUUUAUGUCAAGAAGUGUUGGCAAUACCAACUUCAAGGUCACUGUCAAUUUUGAAAAUCAUUAGCAAAUAAAAUAUGACUUAAUUGAAGCAAACUCAGCAUGGAACUGCAUUAUUUUAAGUAAAUGCUAUAUUAUAAUUUGAAGAAGAAUUACUAACUGCCACUCUCACUGACAAUUAAAUAAAUGAAGAUGGGGCUAUGCAACUUUCCCCCAUGUCUUUCCAUAAUUAAAUAUGGAAAUAGAAUUUGUGAAGAAUUAAAAGGCCCAAAGUGCAAUAAUUCAAACACUAAUGAACUGUUUUCCAGUGUGGCAGCACACAGGUAGUUCCCAGCAUGUUAUCAUUAGCAAAUAUGUCAGUAUCAUCAUUCCAAUCACAAACUUUGCUUGUGAAAUACACCUCUGAAAAAUAGAUUUCUAAUAGUUACCUGGGCUCUUCUAAAAGAAGAAAGAAGCUAAACUUUAUCAUUCAAAAUGUUAUAUAAAAUAACUUUUUUGUAGAAUUUCUCUUCACAAAUUAAAUUUAGCUAAAGUUUAACAUUUGUCACUUAGAGUCUUACACAACUCUUAAUUCUGUAUUUAAGCUUUAUUAGACAGCUUCAGCAGAUGUGAUUCACCAGUUAAGAAAGAAUCACAAUAAUUACCCAUCUAUUGGAUUAUUUUCUUAAUUUUCUAUCAAUAUGCACCUCUGGAAACUAAACCCACAUAUAGUAUUAAAUAUUAUUUCAAAAAGCAAGCAAAGAGUUACCCAGAAUUAUCGAAAAUUCAGAUAAGAUUUGAAUUAACAUUAUUACAGUAUCAAUUUGGCAGUAGUUUGUGAAGAACCUGUGUUUUUCUGCAGGAGAAACAGAAGAAAAUAAAGCCUUCAGCUACUGAGCUUUGCCACGCUAUCUCUAGUUCUCUCAAAUACAAGAUGAGGAUUUCAAAAAAUAUCACAAUUCCGUUUGUAUUAAACUUUGCUGAAUCUUCUUGAAUAUUAUGAACUAUGUCUUUAACUGAUACAGAAAACUACGUUUUUAUAUGUUUUUAAAUUACAUCUAGAUUUUUAUUCCAAUAAAUAAAUAAUAAGUUGUAUUGAUUCAAUACUUAUUAAAUUAGGCCAUCAAAUAAAUUAGGUCAUCAAAUAAAUGUCUUCUUCUUCUUCCUUAUUUCUAUAAAUAAUAAUUUAGCCAGGAAGUAAUCAAGUUUUAUAUGUCUAAGUAAUGCUUAUUCAUGUGGGGAAAGGAUUUUAUACAUGCAGGGAAGCUUGGAGGCAUCAUUGUGGCCUUCUAAUAGAUGACACAUUAUUCUGAAACAAAAAAAAAAUAGCUUAAAGCAAGAAUUACAUUUUGAGAUGUAAGUUAUGAGUGAUUAGGGAAUUAUUAAGCUAAAGCCAAGAAUCUAUGACUAAUUGUGAAGAAUACUUAUUCCAAUAUGUUAGACCAUAGUUAUUUUUCUCAGGAUAUUUUAGGUAAGGAAACUGAGCACAAAGAUUAAGUAACUUGGCCAAGGACUAAUAACUAUUAAGUGGUAGAGUCAGGACACAUAACCAGGAAGUCUGGCUCCAUUACACUUCUUUGCAUAACUUGUCCGUCACCUUGGGGAGAAUAUCCUAAUAUCAAAUCAUAAGACCAUUUCACUGGAGUUUUUACAGAAUUGAACCUAUUGUUCACAUAAGAAUAUCUUACUCAAAUAUUUAAGAUACUUAAAUAUCUUAAUGAAGAUUAAUUGUCACAUUGUUAUUAAUAGGAUGAUGGGACAGUCAAGGCCUAGAAGACCAGGUAUGUCAUAGAGAGAGAGAAUGAAAUAUUCUUGAGACAAAAACUCCCAUGGCCAGAAAGAAAUGGGAAUUCUUAUGGUUAGAAAAGGAAACAUGUAACUUAUAUUAUCCUUACUUUUCAUGUUACCAGAAUUAAUCUGGUUCUUCAAAAGUUUUAUAGCAUGAAACAAUCCAUUAGUCUUAAAAUAUCUGCCUACUACUGUAUUUAAACACAAAAUGUAUUAUUUCUAGUUUGUUCCAUAAUCAAUAGGAAUUCUUCUAAAAACUUAAAAAUCAAAAAUUA